AAUAUAACCACUCCAUUAACCUAUCACAAUUUGACACAUGGCAUUUAAAAAAAUAAUUAUUCAUAUAUUUAAAAUUUGAUAAUCUAUUUGAUACUCGUGGUUGGAGUGAAUUUUUUUUCAAUAAGUAUCAAAGUAUUAUAUCAAGUAUCAAAUGAAUAUUUAAUGCUCCAUUUUGAUAUCUCCCAUUGGAGUUGCUCUAAUGAGGUCUUUACAAUAAGCAGUGGCGAAUCCAGGAUUUUUGUCAAAGGUGUUCGGAAUUAAAUAUAGUAAUAAAUGUAAAAGUUUGCGGGGGUUCGGGGGCAGCGCCCCCGAUUUUUUUUUUAAUACUAUACACAUUAAAUAAUAAAAAUAUGUAAUAUUUUCAAAUUUGAAGGGAUUAUUUUACAAAUUUUGGGCUAAUUUAGGAAAUAUUUAGACAUAAAAUUGGUGAAAAUAUUUAAGGAGUGGUAAGCAUAUUAAAGUUGCAAGUGACAAAAUGUGAAUUUCAUUAGCAAAUUUUGAUUUUUUGUUUUUUUUUAAAAAUACCCACAUAGUUGUAAAUUUAGAAAAUAAUUGUUAUAGUGCAUAUAUAUAUUAAGAAUUUUGGAAUAAUUUAGAUUAUAUAAAAUAUUAAAGGAAUGGUAAAUAAACUAAAGUUGCAAAUAGCAAAAUAUAUAUUUUAUUAGGAGAUUUUGAUUUUUCGAAAUAUUCAAAAAUAGCCACAUAUUCAAAAAAUUUGAAAACAAUUGAAAUAUUAUAUAUUAGGAGAUUUGAUUUUUUGAAAUAUUCAAAAAUACCCACAUAUUCAAAAUUUUUGAAAACAAUUGAAAUAUUAUAUGUAUUAGAAAUAAAUAAAAACAAGCAUAUGAAUAAUUUAACAAAAUAGAAGGGUGCAUAAUUUAACAAAAUAGAAGGGAAGGGUCUCAUCAAGAGUGUCGAACUCUGCACCUAUUUGAAUUUGUAGGGGAGAACUCUGCCAUUUCAGCUACAAAAUCCGAUUAGCAAAUUAUUCAUUUACAGUUAUAUAAUAUAUAAAUAUAUAGGGAAUAUUUUUUUUUUUAAAUCAAGGGUGUGCAGUUGCACACCCUAAGACUAUACUGGAUACGCCACUAACAAUAAGCCCAUCAAUGGGUACUUAUUCAUAAAUAGAUUCAGACAAAAAACUCAUUUACAAAUAAGUUCACACGUAGUCCAGAUUUUUGUAAAAGACUAAAAUAGCACUUCAUACUUUAAUAUGCUCCAAUUCAUCAUUAAUUUAAUAUAACCUCAAUUUGACCCCAAAUUUCAUAAAUUAUUCAAUUUUGACCCAAAACUCAUUUUUAUGGACAAAUUUGUCCGUUACCGCCGUUGACCGCCGAUCUUCCGCGUUGACUUUUUUUUUCUCCUGAUUUUUCAACCACCGGUUUCCGGCGUUGGCCGGCGGUGAAUUUUUCGAUUGACCGCCGGUCUUUGGGGUUGACUUUUUUUUUUCAACUUAUUUUUCAACCACCAGUUUCCGGCAUUGACUGGCGGUCAACGCCGGACUCUGGCGGUGACUUUUUCGAUUUCUUUUUUCUUUUUUCUUUUUUUCUUUCUGUAACAUUUUUUUUCUUGUUUAAACAGCAAUAUUAGUGUGAUUAAAAGUAAUAUUAACUAUAUUACUAUUAAACACAGUAAAAUUAACUAAACUACAGUUUAACACAGUAUUGCUAUAUUAAUCUCUAGCACAAUAAUAUUAACACAACAAAAGUCAUUAUUACUGUGUAAUAGAGUAAUAUUACUAUGUUGACCGUUCAACAAAUGCAAACAUAAUAAAAUGCCAAAAGAAUUAAUAUUAUUGUGAGUGAUAGUAAUAUUACUAUAACAAUAGUAAUAUUACCGUCAACCACAAUAAUAUUACAAUAAUAGCCAGUAAUAGUAUUACGUUACUCCGUGAAUAACUCAACUAAACAAAAAAAAUCCAAACAAAAUAAUAAUAUUGAUGUGGUUGACAACAAUAUUACUAUAACAACAAUAAUAUUACCGUCAACCACAGUAAUAUUAUUGUGUUUACAGUAAUAUUACAAUAAUAGAUAGUAAUAUUAUUACGUUACUCCGUGAAUAACUCAAACAAAACAAAAAAUCCAAAAAAAUAAUAAUAUUGAUGUUGUUGACAGUAAUAUUAUUGUGUUUACAUUAAUUUUACUGCCAACGACAGUAAUAUAAUUACGUUGACUUGUCAACAAAUCAAACAAAAUAAACAAAAAAAAAAAAAUAUUACGUUAAUUUACUGUCAACGGCAGAAAAAUUGCAUAAAUGUAUGGCCAACGGCAGUAUAAUUACAUUAAUUAACAGUCAUGGACAGUAUAAUUACGUUAAUUUCCUGCCAGUGACAGCACAAUUACGGUCAACGUUUAGCGGCGGACGUAAAAAAAAAUAAGUUAAAUAAGUCAACGCCAGAAACAGACGAAAAAAUCCGGAAGAGAAAAAAAAUCGAAAAGUCAACGCCGGAAUCCGGCGGCAAAAAAAUUAUUUUUGAAAAAAAAAAGUUUUUGAAAAAAAGAAGUCAAAAUUGGAUUUUUGUGGACAAAAUUGAUUAAAUUGGGGUUACAAUUAAGAAUUGGGUAUAAAGGUUGAGGGUAAUAUUGUUAUAUACAAGAAUGUUUCCUUUAUUUAUAAUAAAUAUUAAAUGGAUGGGUUUAUUGGUGAAAGAGAUAUAGCCCCUAAACCUAGAAUAAUAAAGAUACUUGGUUAGGGACUUAUACACAAAAAUCCCUAUUAUAAUUUAUGUGUAUAGAUCUAAGUCAAAAUUUCCAUGUUUUAAUAAAUUAAUAAUGUUUGUUGUGUCAAAAAUACCCUUAGCUAAAAUCAAGGGGCUCUUUGAUAUAACCCUCCAUUACUUUUUUUAAUGGGGAUAGGCCCAAAAAUAUUUUAGACCAUUUGAGAAAAGCCCAAUUCUAAUUUCAACUAUUAUGCUUUCCAGCUUUACCCCCGCCCGCCACCUCAUCACUAGGUCACGCGCUCUGCGAUUUUUUUGUUUUUUUUUUCCGUUUUUUUAAUCGACUUUGAAGCAUAGUCGAUUAAUCUUAAAUCAACUGUGCUUCAUAGUCGAUUAAGAAAUUCUUUAUUUUUUAACUUUUUUUUUUGUUUCUAAUUUUGUUUUUAAAUUUUUAUUUAUUUUUUUAAUUUUUUUUCUCUAUCAGGUUUAUUAAUGGAUAGUCGAUUAAAAAUUUAACUAUUAAAAAUAACAAAAUCACAAUUACAAAAGAAAUACAAAAUCAAUUAUAUUUAAAAAAAAAUACAAACAUUGUUAUUGAUUUAUACAUUGGAAUCAAUAAACAAAAAAUCAAAAAAAAAAAAAAAAAUAACAACUAGAGUCGGUUAACCUUAAUCGACUACUGAACAUAGUCGAUUAAGCCUUAAUCGACUAUUGAACAUAGUCGAUUAAACCACGUAGUCGAUUAAGGGCCUUGCCUGCGCGAAUUUUUUUUUUCUGCGCCGUCUUCCGCCACAAUCCACCACAAAACCCUAGAUUUGUUCUUCAUCUUCACCACGUCGUCGCCACACCACAGCAUCACCAUCCUACUUCUAUAUUCUAACACACAUUUCCCAUUUCCUCAUUUUCCACUCAUUUCAUUUCUGCUUUUUUUUUUUGCACACCAAGCCUUUCUUCUUUCUUCUUCUUCUCUUUCCCCACCGAUAACCUAGAACACCUUUCAUCCCGGCCGAAUCUAUGGCUCAGAAGAGAGACAAGGAAGAAACGGAGCUCAAAGUUCCCGAAAACAUACCGAUAUGCACCCCGCCGCAGACGAUUUCCCCUCCUCCUCCUCAGAUUCCGUUCACCAGAUCGCCGGAGAUUUCAGAUCCGAAGAUUUCGGCCGCCGCUUGUAGCCAG
Molecule: long non-coding RNA, 3832 nt
Filed under: Erythranthe guttata (spotted monkey flower)
Lineage: Eukaryota; Viridiplantae; Streptophyta; Magnoliopsida; Lamiales; Phrymaceae
Description: long non-coding RNA (EGUT_LNC000325)
Source: RNAcentral